Molecule: ribosomal RNA, 253 nt
Filed under: uncultured bacterium
Lineage: Bacteria
Description: partial 16S ribosomal RNA
Rfam family: Bacterial small subunit ribosomal RNA
Source: RNAcentral
UACGUAGGGUCCGAGCGUUGUCCGGAGUUACUGGGCGUAAAGCGCGCGCAGGCGGCGGUGUUGGCCCGGCGUGAAAGCCCCCGGCUCAACCGGGGAGAGUCGUCGGGGACCGCACCGCUUGAGGGCGGUAGGGGCUGGUGGAAUGCCUGGUGUAGUGGUGAAAUGCGUAGAGAUCAGGCAGAACACCUGGGGCGAAGGCGGCCAGCUGGGCCGUCCCUGACGCUGAGGCGCGAAAGCGUGGGUAGCAAACAGG